UCUAGAGUCACGAGUAGAUGCUCGCAUCGAAAGUUCUCUAAGUCGCACCGUCCGAAUUCCCCAAGACUUCGAUUUAUCGCGCGAUCCGCAGCGCUGUUUCAGCGCCUGCGUAACGUGUGCGGAUGUAGGAUCCGCCAGGCUGCGCCAGCGAUUCCACAACGUCGGACUCGCGGUUGACAGCAGACGCGGAUUUUUUAUUCUUCAAAGCUCGACGCGAGACGCGUCGUUUGAGUUGAUUGACAAUAUGGGUGUGGGAAGCUGAGCAAGAUCAGCGAGCGCUGUUAGGUGUUGUGUGUUGACCGAGGUGGGCUGGAUUCUAUGAAUUGGGAUCUGGUCAAGCGCGGUAAGGGCGCACGGAGGAUGCCUAGGCGCGGACAGGCGAUGAAGGACGUGGCAAGCUGCGAAAAGUCAGGGGGAGCCGCACGCAGGCUGUGAGCCCUGAAUGU
RNAcentral lists this unclassified non-coding RNA (446 nucleotides) under uncultured Acidobacteriota bacterium. RNAcentral's name for it is "uncultured Acidobacteria bacterium partial contains 16S ribosomal RNA, 16S-23S ribosomal RNA intergenic spacer, and 23S ribosomal RNA". The stretch from base 333 to 446 matches the Rfam family "Bacterial large subunit ribosomal RNA", at positions 1 to 113 of the family's 2925-position model. The record is from RNAcentral. Lineage: Bacteria; Pseudomonadati; Acidobacteriota.